RNAcentral lists this ribosomal RNA (253 nucleotides) under uncultured bacterium. RNAcentral's name for it is "partial 16S ribosomal RNA". It matches the Rfam family "Bacterial small subunit ribosomal RNA", at positions 524 to 776 of the family's 1533-position model. The record is from RNAcentral.
UACGUAGGGGGCGAGCGUUGUUCGGAAUUACUGGGCGUAAAGGGCGUGUAGGCGGUGCGGUAAGUCGGGCGUGAAAUCCCCGGGCCUAACCCGGGGCGGUCGUUCGAAACUGCCGUGCUAGAGUGCAGGAGAGGGAAGUGGAAUUCCCGGUGUAGCGGUGAAAUGCGUAGAGAUCGGAAAGAACACCAACGGCGAAAGCACUCUGCUGGGCCGACACUGACACUGAGAGACGAAAGCUAGGGGAGCGAAUGGG